UACGUAGGGUCCGAGCGUUGUCCGGAAUUAUUGGGCGUAAAGGGCUCGUAGGCGGCCUGUCGCGUCGGGAGUGAAAACUCGGGGCUCAACCCCGAGCGUGCUUUCGAUACGGGCAGGCUAGAGGUAUGCAGGGGAGAAUGGAAUUCCUGGUGUAGCGGUGGAAUGCGCAGAUAUCAGGAGGAACACCGGUGGCGAAGGCGGUUCUCUGGGCAUCACCUGACGCUGAGGAGCGAAAGCAUGGGGAGCGAACAGG
This 253-nucleotide ribosomal RNA is filed under the name uncultured bacterium. Its description in RNAcentral is "partial 16S ribosomal RNA". It matches the Rfam family "Bacterial small subunit ribosomal RNA", at positions 524 to 776 of the family's 1533-position model. The record is from RNAcentral.